This 34073-nucleotide long non-coding RNA is filed under the name Marmota monax (woodchuck). The record is from RNAcentral. Lineage: Eukaryota; Metazoa; Chordata; Mammalia; Rodentia; Sciuridae.
UAGGGAGAGGGCUGUGUAGCCCAGUGGGGGCCACCGCACUGCCGGCCCCGCCCGCAACCUCGGUGCCACCCCACCAGCGCGUGCGCAGCCAAUGGGCGCGGGGCACGCCUCCAACCCCACGGCGCCGGGACCUGCCACCGAGCUCCGCGCAGGACAGCCCCGCCCGUGAUUUGGUCUUCGCGCUCGCUGUGACCGUCCCUGGCCCAGUUAGGCUCUUGGCCAUGGCGUCUUCAGCGGCCGGCGGGGUGGUGAUUGUUGGCAGGUAAAGGGUUCCGAAGUGUCGUGCCAUUAACGAUGGAGCCUGGGGAGGCGCUGGGGACGCGCUAUCCCGCGUUUGGGCCCACGCGUAGCGUCCAUCCGGGUGGGCACCCUCCCUGCGAACGGUUGGGUGCGCCAACUUCCCGCCCUCCAAGGGGCUCUUGUUUCUCUUCACGGAGCUGACCAGGCUGGGAAAGUGUCUGGGUCAGCGGCGGUGUCAGGUAGAAGCACCCUGUAGAGUGUUAAUGUGAAACUUGGUGCUGAUUUACCUGAAGGGUCCGAAAGCUGACGGAGCAGGCUGCGAUUGCCGUGCAGUUCCUGGGAUCCACCAAAUGAUGCCGGGCCUAUCAGCUAGUCCAAUAGGCGCGCAAGGCAUUGAGCAUAAGGAAAAUAAAUUUUGGCAAUAAUCCUGCGAUAACUGUAUUGUUAUUCACAGUUUUUGAAUGAGAAAACGGAAAUGAAGCAAUUUGCCCAAGGUCAUAGUAAAAGAUGAGAGUAGCCCAGAAAGGAGGGUUCAGGUGCAUGCUAGUCAAGGCUGCCUGUAGGGUGCAUUCCUGUCUGCUAGGAGGUAAUUGGAAGCCUGAACAGCGAAUGCGCCUGAACACACCUGGCGCAUGGAUUGGCGUUUCUGAGGGUGAAGGCCUCAUCGGUUUAACAAAUAGAUUUCUGGUGUGUGCUCCCAUGCCCACUUUCUUUUCUUUUUUAAGUUAAGAAGGGGAGGCAUAUUAUAUAUAACUUUCCAUUGGCUAGCUUUCCUUAGCAAGUCUAUAAACGUGAAAAUACAAAUCACAUAUGUAAUCAAAUGUUCUAGUAGUUGUUUUAAAGUAAAAAGUAAUAGAUAAAAGUAGAUGCAUGCUUAUGAUCCUAGCUACUUGGGAGGUUGGGGUGAGGGGAGGAUUGCUUGAGCUUAGGAAUUCAAGGGUAGUUUGGGCAACAUAGCAAGACCCUAUCUCAAAAAAAAAAAAAAUUGAAAAAUUUUAUAGCACGUUUUAUUUAACAUAGUAUCUUUAAAGUGUUAUUAUUUAAACAAGUAUUAAAUUUUAUAAAUGAAAUAGUUUACUUUUUUAACAUUGUUUUCAAAAUCCAGCAUAUAUUUAAUACUUUCAGUGCAUAUGUUUUAGUCAGCUUUUUUUUUUUUUUUAAGCCACUGUGGCGGAAACGCCUAACAGGAACAAUUUUAGAAGAAGAAAAGUUUAUAUAUGGUUUUAGAGCUCUCAUCCAUAGACAACCAGCUCCAUUGCUCUAGCCCCACAUGAGGCAGAACAUCAUAGUGGAAAGGUAUAGUGGAGGAAAGCAGCUCAGAACAUGGUAAUCAGGAAGAAGAGAGAGCUCUCACUCACCAGAGACAAAAUUUAAAUCCCAAAGGCCUGCAUGCCCCAAUGACCAACCUACCCUACCUGCCUACAGUUACUACCCUGUUAAUCCCUAUUAAUGGAUUAAUGCACUGACAAGGUUAAAGCUUUCAUAACCCAAUCAUUUCACCUGUAAACUUUCUUCAUUGUCUCACACAUAAGCUUUGGGGCCACUUCAUACCUAAAAACCAUAACAGAUGGAGCUUAACAUUCCCUAUGACUAAUGGCAAUCACACUAGACAAGGUUGGUUUAAGCAAUGAUAGAAUCUUUAUUAAGAAAGCAGAUAUUUAAAAAACUUUCUUCUCCCCUCAUUUUGUGAAGACUCCUUUAAAAAGUACUUAUAGGGCAGGUAGCCUGAGUGGCAAAGUACUUGCCUAGCAGGCAUGAGGCCCAGGGUUCUGUUAGGGUAGCUUGCACAAAUAUCCAGGAGAGACAUACCUCUGAGUCAAGCAAAAGUUCCUUGACAGAGAAUAUCAGCAAGGCUGCCCUUCUGCAAGGUGCAGCAGUCUGCUGAAAAAACUUCUUAACUAUAUAGUCAUGCACAAUGAAGUAGUUAAAAAAAUAACCUGUCUGGUCCUGUGAUUGUUACUUGGUGUCUUUGUUGUGGUUUAGGUAGUUAGGGACUCUUUGGGGCUGAAUGAGAAGGUCAGGCUUGGGUGGGCUUUUCAAAAUGGAGUUACUUUGGCCUAAGGACCUAACAGCUUCUAUGCCUAGCACUGCAAAACAAAAAACUUCUAAUUAUUUUCAAAAUGCAGGUCAAGCUGUGAGAGGAGGUUUGCUUAAUGAGACCAAACUGUGGAAAGUCUUUGACCUUUAGCUGUUGUAGGCCAAUCAAGGGUCUCCACUUUUCUAACUUUGUGUAGCCUGAGGCUUACUUCAUCCCCUUGCCUGACACCUUCUGUUUCCUUUGAUACUUUCACCAUGUGGCUGACCUGGGAUGUAAGAGAACCUAGUACAGAGAGUGGUCUGGUGCCACGCAGGUGAAGGCUUUUACAGCUUGAGAUGAGGUGGGCCAUUUUGUGGGGUUGCAUUGUUUUCUUAAAUGAAAAAGUGGAAAGAAAGAUACUUUUAUUUUAGAAAAUAUCCUUAUGGAUUACAUCAUACAUAUAUGCAUAAUACAAAAAUGCUAAAUAUAUAACUCAAUGAAUUAUCACAGAGUGAAUAUACUGCUGAAACCCCCAUGGUGAAAAUGUUCUUCAGUCUGAAGUUAGACUCUGUUAAGGAUUUCUUUUGUGGUUAAAUAAUUUAUGAUAAUAGUGACAGGAAAGAAAAGUCUUUAAAGGUGAUUACUGGUCAGUUGGAAACAAGCAUGAAUGUUCAUUGGGCUAUAGACAUCCCUUCGUAUCCAUGGGAGAUUGUUCCAAGGUUCCUGAGGAUGACGAUACCAAAUCUGCUCAUGUUCAAGUCCUUUAUAUAAAAUAGUGUUGGAUUUACAUAGAACCUAUACAACCUUCCUGUACAGAUAACUUAUAAUACUUGAUACAAUAUAAAUGCUAUGUAAAUAGUUGUUAUUGAUUGAGGACACAACUCAAUCAUAGAGUAUUUGUCUAACAUGCUCAGAGCUUCAGGUUAGAUCCCCAGCACCCUAAGAAAAGAAUAAAAAGUUGUUGUAUUGUUUAGAAAAUAACAGUAAGAAAAAAAAGUCUGUACAUGUUCAAUAUUGAUGCAAUUUUUUCCCUGAAUAUUUCAAUCCAUAGGUAUGGAUGGCUGACUGUAUAUUCUUGCUGUCCAAGUUGGUAGCCACUAUCACAUUUUGAUAGUGAGUACUUGAACUUGUCUAGCUUUAGUACUGCUGAUUUCCUGAGUUUUAACAUUUAUUUGACUUUAAUUAAUUCUAAUUUAAAUAGCUACAUGUGGCUAGAGUAUAGUGUAUUUAUCAGUACAUGUCUAGAAUCCUGAGAGUGUCACUAAGAAUUCACAUGUAUAUAAUAUGCACAUUUUAUUUCAUAUUAUAGAAGAAUAUGGAGUAAAUGAGAUAUAAUAUCCUAUUCCUUUAUCCAGAGCUCCAGUGAAAGUGAUUUUAAUUGUGUGUGCAACAAAUGGCUUCACAUAAGAUACUUUGUAAUAAGAUGGUGACCUUCUCUGUGACCCCUUUAAUGUACUUGAGGCUUAGCUCAAGUGAGUAUUGUGUGAGAGCUUUGAAGCUUGGCCAGCACUUCUGUGGCAUUAGAGGAUUUUCAAGUCUAUACAAGGCAUGCCAGGGUCUUCCUUUCACCAGUUUGGGCCAGUUCUAACAGAAGCUGUUAGUCUCUGCUAUGAGACAUCUCCUAUGUUCACAGUGGCCACUGUAUAGAUGGGAGAUGGAGUGGGGAGAAUACUUCUGGAUCCUACCCUAAGACUGCUCUUGAAGGCUCCCUGCCACCAAACUGCUUUCAGGUUUGAGACAAGCUUGCCCUCCCCUCUCUGCUCUCAUGUGUUCCAUCUGUUGGAGUGCUAAUAACUUAGUCUGCUACUGUUUCAUGGAUGCUGGCUUAGGACAUCAGUCUUCCGGAUCAGUGACAAAGGACUUCACUAAUCAUGGUGUAGCAGGUGGCAUGAGUAUCAUAUAGACAUAAUUUAUUGUGCUUUGCUUUAUUGUUCUUCACAGAUAUUGUUUUAAGCAAUAAAAUAUCUUUUAAUUAAGGGAUAUACAUUGGGUUUUUUUUUUUUUUUUAAGACACAAUGUAAGACUGCAGUAAACACAACCUCUUUUUUGUGUCUGGUGGUGGGGAUUUAACCAAGGGACUUGAGCAUUUUAGGCAAGUGCUCUACCACUGAGCCACAUCUUCCUAAACAUAACUUUGAAAUGGGAAAUUCAUGUGACUUGCUUUAUUGUGAAAUUAGCUUAUUUGUGGUGGUCUGGAACUGAACCUAUAAUAUCUCUGAAGUAUGCCUAUAUUUUCAUUGGUUUCCCUUCUCUUAGAGUCACAUAGGGGUGCAUGAAGGGCCUGUGUGGAUUUCAAGAGAAUACUGAGUUUAGGGACACCUACAUUUUUAUAGUAAGCAAUAAACGAUUCUGCUCUUUGUCCUCUCUCAAGGUUUCUUGCUGCAUACAUAACUCUAAGAAGUAGUCCUGGUGAAGAAUGGCCAGAGCCUUGUAGUCUUAGCAUACCCAGCAAGACAUGUAAGAGCUCAUGGAAGAAGUCUUCCAAUACAGAAUCCUUGGCUCUGUCUACACAUCCUCUUGACACCUCUGAAAUGGAGGAUAUAUUGCUGCUACUGCAUUUAUUAGAUUAGGACCUGAUGCCUGCUUCACAUUUUCAGGAGCUUUCAAUUUAGAGAAACCCUAGAGAACUUUUUUGAUUUGUCUUUGAAUUGUCUGAGGAGUACUCAGGACAGCUUGUGGAUAAAAUGCAACUUGAUUUUGAUAUUAUAAGUAGAAUUUGAAAAUUUCAGGAUUGGGGGCUGGGGAUGUGGCUCAAGUGGUAGCGCGCUCGCCUGGCAUGUGUGCGGCCCCGGUUCGAUCCUCAGCACCACAUACAAAUAAAGAUGUUGUGUCCGCCGAAAACUGAAAAAUGAAUAUUAAAAAUUAAAAAAAAUAAAGUUAAAAAAAAAGAAAAUUUCAGGAUUGGAAGAGAGAUGGGGCCCAAUCCACACAUCCAAUGAACACUUGAUGUCAUUGUCUCUGCCCGUGAUUAUCCUGCUUCUGUUUGGGUACCUUUAGUUUCAAGGAUUUUUCUGUCUCAAUGUUUGAUUACGGGGACUGCCUUUUCCUGGCCAACAGCAAGCAUCAGUAUAAGACUCAAGCAAUGGAAAUAGGUGCAGUAACCCCAAAUCAGCCUUGUGCUUCCUCAAGCUUAUCAGUUUCCCUUACCCAGAGGAUCAGACCCUUCAACAUGCAAAUAUAUAGUUUUUCUUCUAAAUUGAUCCCAUUUCUCCCCCUGGUUACCACCACAUUUUCUGUCUAAACUUAGUAAAAUGAUCUGUAUUCUGUCUCCAGUUUCUUUCUUCCCAUUAUCUAUCUUUUGACUUUGUAUUAUGGAAAAAUUUCAAACCAUAUUUAAGUUGAGAGAAUAAUAUGGUGAACCCUUAUGUACCUGUACCCUGCCCCCAACAUCAACAGUUACUAACACAGAGGUAAUCUAGUUUCUUUUAUACUCUCCUCUUUGGAGUAUUUUGAACAAAUUCCAGACAUAUCAUUUCAUCUAUGACUAUAUCAGCAUGUAUAUCUAAAGGAUACAGACUCUUUUACAAAUACAUAAUAGCAAUGCUAUCAUCAUAGGCAAAAUAUUAACAGAAUUCCUUAACAUCUUUAAGCAUUUCCUCUGCAUUCAGAAUUUCCCUUAUUAUCUUUUAACACCUAGUUUGAUUGAUUCAGAUGCCAAAUAAGGCCCACAUGUUAUAUUUGAUGCUAUUGUUUAUUGAUGCUUCCAAGCUAUAGAUUUCUCAGCCCUUUUUUAAAUAUUUAUUUUUUAGUUAUAGCUGGACAAAAUUUCUUUAUUUUUAUGUGGUGCUGAGGUUUGAACCCAGUGCCUCACGCAUGCUAGACGAGCAUGCUAGGCGAGUGCUCUACCUCUGAGCCACAACCACAGCCCCAUCUCAUCCCUCUUUUUUAAAAACAAAUUUAUUGAAGUUUAUUUGUUGAAGAACAUGAAUCAUUUGUCCUGUAUAAUCUUCCAUGUAGGAUGUGAAAAGUAAAAGAAUUGAGGAUGAUGCUAAGUUAUUUUUGGAGAGCAAGAAAGGAUGAAGGUGUCAUUAAUUCUAUAGGAAAAGAUUUUAAGAGUGAUAAUCAGGAGUUCAAUAUAGGGUAUUUUAAUUGUGAGAUGUUUAACAAAUAGAUCAAGCAAAACAACAGAGUAAAGUCUUUAGUUCAGGGCCAACGUCUGGGCUGGAACAAGAAUGUGGGGUAUUUAGUAGUGCAAGACGUGAGAUCUCUAAGAAACAGAGACUUAGGACACUCCAACUUUAAUGGGGAAAGAUAACCCAGUGAGAUUUUGUUGAAUGUGUCCCUAGAGUGUUAUUUACCAUGUUCCUUUAUCUUUCAUUCUUGAGACUGGAGUUAGAUCCAGGGGUUCAUUUUAUCUUACACCCACCUAAGGCAGGCUUUCCUUGCCAUCAGGUGACAAAAAGUUCUCUUAUCAUGGUUCCCCACUCCCAUUCAUCCUGCUAAACCCAAUAGCCAAUUCUCAGUCCAAAUUCUACUUGAUUACUGGGUUUUGACCCAGAUGGACAAUCUCUUCUCCUUGAGGCUCUCUUCACUUCCUAACCCUCUCAUCUGGUUAUCUGUCCCCAUUAAGUUGGAAUGUCCUAAGUCUCCAUUCCUUAGAGAUCUCACAUAUCACACAUGACUAAAUACCCCACAUUCAUGUUCCAGCCCAGAUACUGGCCCUGAACUGAGGACUUUAUCCAGUUGUUUUGCUUGAUCUAUUUGUUAGACAUCUCACAAUUAAAACACCCUAUAUUGAACUCCUGAAUGUCUCCUAAAAUCUUCUCCUAUAGAAUUAAUGACAUCUUCAUCCUUUCUUGCUCUCCAAAAAUAACUUGGCAUCAUCCUCAAUUCUUUCACUUUUCAUACCCUACAUGGAACCCACUAGCAAUUCUCUUUGGCUAUACCUUGAAUAUAUUAUAUAUUCAAAACUCAGCUAACCACCAAUCAUCCCUUCUGCUUCUAUCUUCUUCCAACCUACCGUCAUAUCCUGCAGCAAGCUCUGGACUCUGAACUGGUCUUUUUAUUUCCAUCUUUGCCUUUCUUCAGUACAUAUGCUGCUUGGCUUACAAUGGGGUCACAAUCCAAUGAACCAUCAUAAGGUGAAAAUAUCAGAAGUGUAAAAUGCACUUACUACUUCCAGCCUACUAAACCUCAUAACUUAGCAGCACAGCACUGUAGACUGUUGGUUGUUUCCCCCUUGUGAUCACGGGACUGAUUGGUAAUUGCUGCCACCCAACAUCAUGAAAGAGGUUUGGACUUUAUAGCACUAGCCUGGGAAGAGAUCCAAAUUCAGACUUCCAAGUUUGAUUUCAACUGAAUGCCUUUUGCUUUUGUACCAUCACAAAGUCAAGCCAUCAUAAGUUAGGCACUAUGUAUUUUUAAGAAAACAUCUAGAAAGUUCCUUUUAAAACUUAAAUCAAUUCAUGUCUUUCAUAUAAAACAUUCUGUUAGAUACUCAUCUCAUACAUAUGAGUAAAUAUCUAAAUCCCUCUGUGGUCUCUGAGACACUAUGUAUGUAACCAGUUCACCUUCCCUUCCAACCUUUGGACUUCAUUCCUUACCCACCCUCUCCUUCCACCUCCACUGCAGCUGCCCAUCAGACUUACAGUCAUUCUCUCCCUGCCAAGGACACUUUUCUUACAGAUAUACUCAUGGCUUGGCCCUUUACCUUCUUCAACUCUGCUAAAAUAUUACCUUGCCAGUGAGUCAUUCCCUGGUAGUGCUUAUAAAAUUUCUCUGCCUUCCAGUUUCUACUUCCUACUUUUAGUCCCUCUUGUCAUUUUCUUUUUUUUUCCUUAGAACUUUUACUUAUUUACAAUAAACUAGGCUUAUAGCCCACUCUAAGCUCCUGGCAUCAGGCUAUAGAAUAGUGCCUGACACAUAGUAGGCACUCUUUACCUACCUCCGGAGUAAAUCACUGUUGCCUUCAUCUUCAUUCCAUGGGAAGAGCUUGCUGACCAUUAUCUAGUGUUUGUCAUUAAGGCAUGUCAGCGUUUUUGUUGUCAACAACUAACAUUUAUCAAGCCGUACAAUGUGCCAGGAAUACAAAGGUGAGCAAGAUAGUUCCCAGUGCAUAGAGCUUACCUUAUUGAACGAACAAAAAACAAGUUCAUAUUGUGGACAAGUGUUGCUUUGCCCCCACUUCCCUGCACAAAACUUACUGUGGUUUUUUCUCAUGCACUUAGAAAUCCUUUAUGAAAUAUCUAACAGUUCACAACAAAAAAGAGGAGUGUUCAAUAUCCCAGACCUGGAGAUGGAAGUGAGAUCUUGCACUGGUCAUUUUCUCCCUGUAUCUUCAUUCAGUCCUACAUAUGCCUAUACAUGUCCUGCUUCAUCCAGCUUCCCUACAUUAAUAUGGUACAAUGUGUUACAAUUAACGAACUAUUACAUUGUCACCCACUAAUAGUGUUUAUUAAUAGUUAAUUAAAAGUAAUAUCCUUUGAAAUUCUGAUCUCCAUAGUUUUUACCUGAUGUCCUUUUUCUGUCCAGGAUGCCAAAUCACAUUUACAGUUUUCUCUCUAUAUCCUUGAGUUCCACAUCUGUUGAUUUAACCAACCAUGGAUUGAUAAUAUUUGCAAAAAAAAAAUUGUGCCUACACUGGACAGUAACAAUAACAUUCCUUGUCAUUGUUUUCUAAACAAUAUAGUAUAACAACUAUUUACAUAGCAUUCACAUUGUGUUAAGUAUUAUAAGUCAUCUAGAGAUGAUUCCUGAAUAUGCACAUAGAUUAUAUGCAAAUACUAUUCCAUUUUUUGUAAGGAAUUUGAGCAUUCUCUGAGCUGGCAGAAGGGGGUCCUAGAACCUCUCUCUCAUUCAUACCAAGUGACUGCUGUACUUGUCAUUUCUCUUUUGACUCCUCUGUGACAUUUCCUUGGACUUUCCUUGCUUUUGAUGACCUUGACAGUUUUGAGGAAUAUUAGUCAUGUAGUUGUCGAAUGUCCCUCUGUUGAGAUUUGCCUAAUGUUCUUCUCAUGACUAAGCUGGGGUUGUGGUAGGAAGACCACAGAAGUAAAUUUCUAUUCUCAUCACAUAUCAAGGUAUCACGACAUACUUUCAUUAUGAUUCAUUGCUGUUGAUAUUAACCUUGACCACCUGGCUGAGCUAGUGGUUCAGUUUCCUCCACGGCUAAGUUAUUCUUUUGUUUCCUCUUUCCACACUGUACUCUUGGGAAAGAAGUUGCUUUGCAUAGGGUGGAAAAUGAUGUUCCAUUUCUCUGAGGACAGUGUAGCUAAAUAAAUUAUUUGGAAUUCUUCUGCAAGGGAAAUGUGACUUUUCCAACAUUUAUUUAUUUAUUCAAACAUUUAUUUUUAUCAGUAUGAACUUUUGAAUAUGUAUUCUAUAGUUUGUAUUAUAAUAAAAAAAACUGGCUCAAUUUGUUCCAGUUUUAGCCAUUGGGCGCUCUUCUAGUGGUUUCUUGUAUCCCUUUGAUGUAUCUUAUCAAUGUAGAUUUUUUUGUUUUUGUUUUUUAACAUUUACUUGCUGGUACUACAGAUUGCUCCAGGCUUAUCUUAUAUGGCUCAGCUCUAGAAUUUGUCAUUUCUCCAAGGAGUACUGCUUUCUUUUAUGGGAGAAUAGUAUUAGAAAUCAAGAAUUGGACUCUAGAUGUGUUCUGUACAUUUGUCUUUAACCCUUUAAACAAUCCCAUAUGUGCUCUUUAUAAUUCUUUUGUCUUUUUAUUUUCCAAUAAGUCUGAAGCAGUGGGUGAAGAGUAGGGGUUAAGUGUAAGGACUCAAGAGACCUCUUGGCUUCAUCUCUUAGCUCCAGCAUGGAUAGCCUGUGUGGAAGUAAUUCUUCUGUGCCUCAGAGGAAAUAAUGAUAGUACAUACAUUGUAAGGUGUUAUAAAGACUAAGAGAGGUAAGACCUGAGUUUUUAAUGGUGCCAGCACCUAAUCCAUGCUCAUGCUGUUGUGGUAGCAGUUAAUUAUUUGAAGAGGACAGCAAAUACACUCAAAAAUCUUUCUAUAUUUAUGGGAGAUUGAUUCUAGGACCCCCAUGGUAACAAAAUCUGCAGAUGUUCAAGUUGUUUUUAUACAAUGGUAUAAUACUUACAUAAAGACUCAAUGAAUUUAAAUGCCUAGUAAAAUGUAAUGUAACUUGUGGUUGUACUGCAUUGUUUAGAGAAUAAUGAGAAGAAAAAUGUCUACACAUGUUUAGUACAGAUGUAGUUUUCUUUUUUUUUUUUCCCGUAAGUAUUUUUAAUCCAUGGUUGGUUGAAUCCUCAGAUGUAGAACCCAGGGAUACAAGGGCUGGCUGUACUAUCUCUCUUGUUCAAGUUAGGUGACUUGCCUAAGACAGUGGUCAAAUGGGGGUUCAACUAAGGACCUUUUGCCUCAUGUCACCCUGCUACCUCCCGACUGUAAUUUUUUUGUUUCAGUGCACGAGCACAUGAUGAAUACUCCACAUACCGCCACAUUCCCUGUGGAAUACUGAUCUUGGCACUUGUGUUGGGGACUCAGGAGUUCCUGGGUAGAAACAGAUAACAUUUUAAACAAAUACAGUUAUCAAGAUGUGCACUUUAAAGAGAUUUAUUAAAUAUUGUAGGAAUGGGAUACUGUAUAAUUUUGAAAAGUUUCUUCUGGAUUAAGAAUGAAAAGACGUUCAGUUAUUAAAUUAAUUUGAAUCAUUUCUUAAUUUUCUCUCCCUGUAGUGGACUCAUUGGACGAAGCUGGGCUAUGUUGUUUGCCAGUGGAGGCUUCAAGGUGAAACUCUAUGAUAUUGAGCAAGAACAGAUAACAAAUGCCCUGGAAAACAUCAGGUAGGCUAGCUGACGCCUUCUGGGAGGAGUUGGAAUGGUCCUGUUCCUUUUAGUUGGUCUUGUUUAUCAGAUUCUCAAGGCUAUAAAUAUCUGUGAUUGUACAUUUUCAUUUGAUACAGCUCUUGGAGUGCCUCUGAACCAAUAGAGGUCAGGUGUAAGGUGGCUAGAAUGUGAAUUUAGACUGGAAAGGAGACUUCCAUUGUUAGGAAAGGCCCAUUCAGAUUGAAAAGAUUUAAGAGGGGGGAAAAGAGGAGCUGAAUGUAAAUGUCAGGACUUAAUCCCAAUUGAGUUGGGGACUUCCUUAUUAUGUCACACAGGGGUAGAGAGCUGGGACUUUUUCUUGUUCCCUCUGUAGGAUAAGCCAGUGUCCAGCAGGUGAUAAUCAGAGCUUCAUGGGCAUUACCUUUUAGGAACAGAGGUUCUAAGCAUUGUUUUGACCUAUUGAUCUAAUAAUGGUGGUAGGCCCCAGAUGAAAACAUCCUGAAUUUUAAUUAGGGUUUAGAACUCAUGUGAGAGGACAGAACUGUAGUCACUCUUGUGGGUGUUAGUAAUUGUGACAACUGUACUAGUUAAAGGCAUGAGAGUGGAUGAACUUACCAAAAACUGAGGACUGAGGUUGAGGAGUGGAAGUCACAGUGGGCAGAAGAAGUAUAGGAACCAAAGACAAAGGCCAAGAAUAAGGGAGGUCAAAGAUAUAGGAACCAAACUAAUGCCCUGGUCUGUCUGACUUCAAAGACAUGUUAAGCAUCUUCAACAUCCAUUUAUACCAUAUGCUUUAUAGAGAUUCUUCAAACAAUACUUUUAAUAUAAUAUUUGGCACAUGCAAAAGAAUAGAUCAUGUAUAUAAGUUUAGGAAGAAGAAUAAUGAAAUAAUUAUCCAUGACCCUCCACCCAACUUAAAAUUUAGAACAUUACCAAUACUUGUAUGUACCUUUUGGAUCUCAUCCCCCUGACCUCCUAUCAGAGGUAAAAAAUAUUAUUUAUUUGUAUUUACCAUUUUCGUUGUCCUAAAAACACUUAUAUACAUGUCCCUCAAUAACAUACUGUUUAGUUUUGCUUUCUUUUGUGUUUUAUAUGAAUAUUGCUGAGAUCCACCCAAGUUUUUGCUUAUAGCUCUAGUGCAUGUAUUUUUACUGCUAUACCAUAUUCUGUUGUGUGAAUUUUCUAUAAAUUAUUUAUCUGUUAUCCUCUUGGAAUAUUAUAGCUUUUCCCAGUUUAAGCUAUUGUAAAUAAUGUUAACUAUUAAUAUUCUUAUAUUUUUGUAUAUUCUAUGUUUCUUAUUAUUUUUCUUGUAUAUUCUGUGUUUCCUAAUGUAUAAGUGCAGGAGUUUCUAUAAGUACAUACCUAGCAGGGAGACCACUGGGUCUGUUUUACCUGAAGGAGUUCUGAUAGCCUAGAUAUUGGACCAUCUCUUUCUACCUUCAUUUUUUUAAAUGUUAUAGUAGUAUCUUUAUUGACUUGGAAAGACAUUUAUGCUGUAUCUUUUUUUGGGGGGGGGAUAUGAAUUCUUAUUUUUCCACUUGUACAGAUUGCAGUAUCACAUUGGUUUUACAGCCACAUUUAUACAUACAGCCAUACUAGUGUUUACCUUCAUUUCUAAAAACUUUUAUUUCACGUUUUCUCUCUCCCUAUGUUUUCAGAAUACAUUCUGGAUAUGUUCUUUAGAUUUUUCUUCAUUUCAUCAAUUCUCUUUAUAGUUGUGUUUAAUCUGUUGUUUAGACCAUCUACUGAGUUUAUUUGAAUAAUUUAGUUUUUCAUUUUUAAAGUUUGCUUUGCCUCUUCUGUAGAUAUAUCAGUCUCAAAUGGCUUGCUUAUUUUUUGUGGUUCCAUUUCUCAAAUCAUCAACUAUUUAAUACAUAAUUGCUUUGUACAAUGUAUCUGAUAAUUCCAGUUCCUGAGAGUGUCUUAGAUUCAUCAGAAUCAGAUCCUAAGAUGCAGAUUCCUGGGCAAGUGAUUUAUUAAGGUGGAGCUCCCAGGAUAAAGCAGUAAGGGAGGAGUGAAGAUAAGAUAAAGAAGAGAUAGAAACCAAUUAAGGUUGUGAUUUCAGAAGUCUGGGGCUCAACACAAUCCCCUGGGAGAUCUAGAGUGUGGAGUGAACUGUAAAGUUUGUCCUCACUCAAGGCAAGGGAGCUGGACUGUCAUAGUCCUGACAAUGGUCAGACACUGACAAUGGUCCUUCCUGGAUGAAUAUAAACUCCCAGGCAUUUCUAGUCCUUUGAUCUGGAACCAGGGAGUUCUCUAAGGAAGGCUGUUAGGUUUGAACCUUUAGCAACAAAGAACUCCAAAGCUGGAGAUAGACACCCAGUGUUCAUGAGAGGAAUCCAAAGAGUUCUGAAUGGAGCACCAAUGGCCUUCACUAUGGCAAUUCACUGCUUUUAAAUAAGUUUUCUUACUCACUUAUUCAUGCUUUCAUUCUUUAAAAAUACUGGUUGAUCACCUACUAUGUGUGUGACACAUUUAAGUACUGGGGAUUAAACAAUAAGCAAAAUAGACUGAGAUCUCAUUGACCUAUAAGAACUCACAUUCAGUGCGGGGGAAGACAGGGAAAAGAAGUAGAAAAUUCUCUGUGCUCCGUAAAUUCAUCUCCCGACACUUGUGGAGUAUGAUCUGUGGGUUUAGACAAAUGUAUACUGACAUGUAUCCAUGACUGUAGUAUCAUAAAGAAUAAUUUUACUGCCCUAAAUGUCCUCUGUGCUCUAUUCUUCCCUUGCUCCCCUAAUUCCUUGGCAACCACUAAUCCUUUUAGGCUCCAUAGUUUGACAUUUUUCCAGAAUGUCAUAUAGUUGGAAUCAUACAGUGUGCGGUCCUUUCAGAUUGAUCCUAUGACUUAGUAAUAUGCAUUUAAGUUUCCUCCUUAUCUUUUCAUGGCUUGAAUAUAAUUUAUUUAUUUUAGUGCUGAAUAAUAUUGCAUUGCCUGGGCAUGCUACAGUUUUUCUGUUUAUCUUCAGAAGAACAUCUUGGUACUUUCAAGUUUGGGCAAUUAUGAAUAAAGCUGCUGGAAAUAUUCAUGUGCAGAUUUUUUUGUUUGGGCAUUUUUGUCAGUUCCUUUGAGUAAACACUAAGGAUUAUAGUUGCUGGAUUGAAUGUAAGAAUAUAUUUAGUUUUGUAUGAACCAUUAUACUACCUUUCAAAGCGCCUAUACCAUUUUGCAUUCCCAUCAACAAUGAAUGAGAGUUCCUGUUGCUUUGCACUCUUGCCAGCAUUUGGUGUUGCCAUUGUUCUGAAUUUUAGUCAGUCUACUACGUGUUACGGUGGUGUCUUAAUUUGUUGAUAACAUACAAUGUGGAUCAUCUUUUCAUAUGCUUUAUUUGCCCUCUAUGUUUCUUCUUUGAGAUUGUGUGUGUGUGUGUGUGUGUGUGUGUGUGUGUUGAAGACUGAACCUAGGGCCUCACAGCAUGCUAGACAUAUGCUCAACCACGGAAACCCCAUUUUCAAGUUCUUUUAUUUUUUUUAAUUAAAAAAUAUUUUUGGCUCAAGGGAGGACCUUGACAAUUUCUUUUAUUUGCUGUGACUCCUGAUGCAUAACAAUUAUUCCUAUAUGGGAUUAAGUGAUUUUGUAGAAACCAUUUCAGUGUUCCUGUUCUGCUAAAGAAGGCUUCAGAGUUUUUCAAUACAUUUUAAGCCACAAUAAAAACAGGUGAAAGCCAUAUAAUCCUGUUGUAAUUUAGAAGAAAACACCUCUUAAGACACCAUUCACUAAAUAUAAACAAGAAACUGAGACAAAAGGAUUUUCUCAGGUUGAGUCAGUGUUUUUAUAAAGCAUCAAGAUUGGAAACAUGGUAGCAAAGAGCUUAGUAUUUGGUUUAAUUGAGAUUACUUAAGGAGCAAUAGGAAGUAAUUUAUCGAUAGUUAAAAUAUAAUUGUAAAGAGCUUUAAAGGAACUUAUGGUAUUGCUAAAUAAGUAAAGUCAUAUCUGUAGGCUUCCCUUGGACUGCUUGCCACACUGAUACCAAAAUGUGCAGAUGCUCAAGUCCCUCAUAUAAAAAUAAAAAUGUGCAUAGAACCUAUGCACAUCCUCCCAUAGACUUUAAAAUCAUCUCUAGAUUACUUAGGAUACCUAAUACAAUAUCAAUGCUAUGUACACAGUUGUUAUACUGUAUUAUUUAGGGAAAUUUAUACCAUGACAAGGAAAAGUUCUGUAUGUGUUCAGUGACAGGCAAAAAAAAUUUUUUUUCCAGUUACUUUCCAUCUGCAGUUGAUCGAGUUCAAGGUUGCAGAAUCCACAGGCCGGGAGGAACAACUAGGCUUUGUUAAAUUCGUCUUUGAAUUUUGCAUUAAGUAUAUAGGAACUUUAUAAGCUCCCAUUUAGAAAUGGUUAGUUGGUGAAACUGCUUGUGCCUUGUAUACUUGGGUGAAAACCCUGGCUUUUCUGUAGGCCUGGACUUGGUACUGGUUUUCUGGUGAUGCUGUUUGUGGUCGAUGGGUCUGAAGCUGAGCAACAAUAGAUUAAGCCCAGUGUUGGAGAGAGGGUAACCUAGGGAAGAGGAGACCAGGAGUCUCUCGUUAAGUCAGGCUUUAAGCAACCCCAUGUGGCCUCCAGGCCAAGACUUGGUAAGCUUUUUUUUAGAAAGCAGGUAGUAAACCUGUUAGGCUUGGGGGGAGGGUCAUAUGGUCUGUACCUCAACUUCUGAUUGUUGAGUAAAAGCACUCAGAGAUAAUCUCUAAACAAAUAGGUCUGGCUAUAUUCAAAUAGAACUUUAUGGGUUAAUAUUGAACUUAGGAAUUCAUUUACUUUUCAUGUGUCACAAAAUAUUAUUAUUGUUUUGUUUUUCUUUUAAGAAUUUAAAAAUGUAAAAACCACCCUCUUUUUAUAGGCCGUAGGAAAACAGGUGGAGAACCAGACUUUUCUUGCAGGCUAAUAGGCUUUUCAAUUCUGUUAUCAUUUCAUCUUAUGCUUUGUCAGUUCGGUUUUAACUCACUUGUAACUAAGGGAAAGCCAAAGGUUCCUAAUUGAAAAGUCCUUUGUUCUAUUUCUUGGUAUAUUUGUAUUUUAGGCUUUAUUUUUUAGGUGUAUCAUUAAAGGUUUUUGUUAUUUUUAAAGACCUUUCAUGUAUCACAGAGUACAUGAUAGGUUGUGGGAAAGUUUUUUGUUUGUUUGUUUGUUUUUCCCCCUUUUUUCAGAGCUGAGGAUGGAACCCAGGGCCUCAUACUUGCUAGGUAAGUGGUAUACCACUGAGCUAUAUACCCAAACCCCUGUUUUGCUUUUAAAACCUGAUUAAAGGCUUAUAUAUUAUUCUACUACUUUGCUUAGUUAAGAACUGUUUCUUAAUAUUUCUAGUGUUCAAUUAGAGCAAACUUUUAGACAAAUCUGUAAAAUAUUUAAACCAGAAAAACCAAAACAAUUAUUACUAUAUCAGCCAUGUUGUAGAAGGAGCAAAAGUACUGAAUUCCUGUGCAUAUAUAACUCUUUCCUCAAGAAAAGGGCCUUAUUUAUUUCUUUUUUAUAACUCACACACAUUUGAGUUAAAUUGGCUUAAAUAUGUAGAACUGGUUGUACUUCUUUGGCAGGAGGUAGGGAUCUUAUGUUAUCUUGUGACCCACUACCUUUCUCCUCAAAUUAUAGUUAGCAAAUACCUUCAGGGAAAUCAGAUUGAGCUGUAUUGUAUUGCACCCUUAGAGAAUACUGAAUUUUCAGUCUGACUUUUAAGCAAAACUACCUGCUUUCCUCUUUGAAUCACAUGAUUAUCAAAUGAGCCAUUUCUGUAUGGAGAGAUCAAGUUGAGAAGACAGAGACCAAACCACAGUUUUGUGAAUAUUUUGGUCAAUGUGACAAGUUCUGUAGUUCAGAAACAUUUUUUUUCAGACACAAAAUAUUUUGUGUCUGAAAAAAAAAAGCAUUGACUGCUUUUCUCAGUAAACAAACUGUGUCAUCCUGCAGGUUACUAAUAACUAUGAGUCAAUAAUAACAUUAUGUCUGUGGUCUUGGAUAUUAAAGAACUGAAGGUUAAAAUGUCUCUGACUACAUGUUGGGCCAAAAGAACAUAAGGCGAACCAAAUUUAUCCUUUUGUCAAGCAGUAUAGUAGUCCCCCCUUAUCUGUGGGGGUAUAUCCCAAGACCCCUAGUGGAUGUGAGAUUAACAAUAACUAUUAGUAAAAUAGAAUAAACAUAACAAUAUACUGUAAUAAAAAUUGGGUGAAUGUGGUUUCCCUUGAAGGAGUGAAGAUGAGUAUUAAUAUUUUGGAUCACUGUUGACUCUGGGUAAUUGUAACCACAGAAAGCAGAUCUUCAGAUAAGGGAGGACAACUGUAUAAAUGAUGUAUCCUCAGAGGUUGAACUGACUGGAAAAAAAGUUUGUGGCCAAUGGACAUCUUUCCUGACACCCUGUUUUGUGGUCUCUGUCCACUACUAUAGGUGGUGGUGCCAUUAGGACAGAGCCCGUGCAUUCUAUUCUCAGUGCUCUUGGUAGGAGGUAUUGGAUGUCACAAGAUUUGUGUAUUAGCUAUUAUGAAUGCAAAAGCAAUGUGCACAUUUAUGGUUGCCAUAGCCUGGGAUAUUAUAGGUUCUAGCCCAAUAAUUGUUUUAACUGAAUUAUGGUGACAUUUUGUAAAGUCUCAAAAGGUAAUUCUCCUGGCCAUCUGUCCCACCCUUGUGGUUUGGUUCACUUCUCGUAUUCUGAUUCUUAACAUUUUAUAGCAGAGAAUAUCAUGUAGUUGAAAUUUCACUACUUCUAGAAAAUCCUAUGGAUGUUAGACCUAUUAAAAAUGAAUCUUCUUAACUAGAAAUGAUACCUCUUGAUUCUGAACUUAUAAAAAUGAAUUUAACUUAGGGAAGUUGAUUUUUUUUAAAUAUUAAGAUGUUAGAAGAGUAGGGAAAUUAUUGUCACAAUUCGUACCAUGCCAAGGGAUCUCAGUGAAUUAAAAAAGCUAAGAAGCUGUCAUCCAAGACUAAUCUUCCCCUAAUAGGAUAGCUCAAUGAGAAACUUAAAACUUGGCAUGUUUACAUCUCUCACUGGAAGGGUAUCUUGACCGUGGAAAACCGUAUUAGCAGAUGCUUCACUACUUGGUCUUUAUUUUCCAUUGUGUGCCCAGUACUUGGCACAUAUUAAGUCUCAAGAAAGAAUUUCAGAGGAUAAAAGAAGAAUUUUAGGGAGAAAAACAGGAAUCAGGUAAACAAAGACCUAAUAUGACAGAGUGUUUUACUUCUUAUGGUUUGGAGAGGGUCUCAUGUCCACGUAGCAGAUGGGCCAUAUGCUCUCAAGGGACCAGGAUACCCUGGCAGAGGCCAUGUGAACAUCUCAGUGACCAACUACCCCCACUCCAGGGAGGAACAGCUGCCUUAUCUGACUGAGUCCCAAUCUGUAGUUGCUGUCUUUGGGAACCUCUACUCUUCUAUCCCAGUUUCUCUCCUGCAGUCACUCCAGUGUCUGUAGAUGGCAGCUGUGGUACUUAGAUCUGUUUUAAAAUGACUCAGCUUUUUAAGUUGGGGAGUUAAUAUACGACUAGAAUGAUCUCUGAAACAGGGUGGCUGCCCUGUACUCUGCUGCUUAAGUAACUGAACUUGUUCAUGAACUCAGGCAUUGCCAAUGCCUGGAUCUUUUGUUUUUAAUUUGCCGUUCUUUGCUCUGUCCUGAUCUAAACUUUAUUUUGAACUCUGUUUGAAUCUGGCUGGAUUCUUCUGGAUUAGUCUCUUCUCUUCUCUUGAUUUGAAACUUACUUUUAUUUUUCUCACAUACCUUGGGCUAGCAUAACUGGAAUGGUGGAUCACAAAAUGACCACAAAUGGCUCCCCUCUCUGUCUGCCAACCCCCUUGCAAUGUGGUUUUUCUUCUCUUACCCCCAACUCCAACCUGGCUAUGGGCUUGCAUUGGCCAAGGGGACAUUAGGAAAUGUGACUCAUGAGGGAACUGAAAAUAUCCCAUGUUUUGAGACAUCCCACUUCCUGUUAGGAACCCUUUCUCCUAUCCCCAUCCUGUCUAUCGGCUCAGCCAGCUAGAGGUGUCAGCCCAAGCUGGUCAGCCCUUAGCAGCACCAACUGCCAGACAAAUAAAUGAAGCCAGCCUAGACCAUCAGUCACAAACCAACCUUCGUCUGACAGGAGCCACGUAAUUAAGCCCAGGCAGAAUUAUUAACCCCAAGGAUUGUGACAGUGGACAUUAGGUAACUGAUACACUGAACCUUGACUGAAUUCCUGAGUAGAGGAUAGGAAAGGUAGCAGAACACGACAGUCACUAGUAUGGCAAUAUGUAAAUCAAUGGAUGUGUAAUUGAUGUGAUUCUGCAAUCUGUAUAUGGGCUAAAAAUGGGAGUUAAUAACCCACUUGAAGCAAAGUGUGAAAGAUGAUAUAUCAAGAACUAUGUAAUGUUUUGAACAACCAACAAUAAAAAAAAAAAAAAGAGAGAGAUUAGGAAUUACCACCACUGGUUCUAGGAUCUGAGAGCUUCUGGUUUUGUCUUUUCAUAGCCAUCGUGCUGACAGAGGAGUUCCACUUUUGUGGGAAAUGAUGCAGGGCUUUUGAUCCCAGUUGCUGCCUGAAAGGAACAUGCCACAAAUAAAGUUUUAUUGAAACACAGUCAUGCCUAUUUGUUUACAGAUUGUCUAUGGCUGCUUUUAGUCCACAAUAAGUAGGUAUGGCCAAGACUGUAUGACCCACAAAACCUAAAAUACUUACAGUUAGGGGAAAUAGGGCAGUGAUAAAUGAGUAAUAGUGAACAUACUCUGAGAAUUCAGGAAAAGUUGAAUAGUUCCAGCCAAACUGAUCAUGAAUGUAUAGAAAAGACAAAAUUUGAACAUGGACUUUGCAGAUAAAAUCCCAAGGGCGAUGAAAACACAUCAGGUAGAAGAAAAAUAAGGGAAAUGAAACAAUUAUUUGAAUUGUCUAAUGACAGCUGAAUGGGAGCAGGAUCUGUGAACCCAGAGCUAAGUUCAGUUCUAUAUGUUGGCAACACACAGUUAGAAAACAAUAAAAAAUUUACAGAUGUAACAAAUGUAAGCAAUCUAGGUAUAAUUAUAAGAAAAACAUAGAAGACAUACAUGGAGAAAUUUCUUUCAAUUUUAUUGAGACACAGUAAAGAAAACCUAAGUAAAUGGAGAGGCAAUACCCUAUGCUUGGGCAAGAGCCUGUCACUAGCUAGUUUAAUUACUGAAAAGUAGGGUGUAGGGGGGCGGUUGAUGAAACCUCUCGAGAUUGAAAAGUUCAGGAGUAAUCUGAGUUCACAGCAAUGGGCUGUGGGUUCAGCCAGGUCAUUCACCUUGAUUUAUCUGUGUGUUCACAGAUCCUGCUUUCACUUGGCUGUCAUUAGGACAGUUCAAAUGAUUGCUUCAUUUCUCUUAUUUAUUUUUCUUCCAAAAACAGAAAUAACUUGGCUUUAUCCGAUUUGUAAAAGUCAUAUAUGCUAAUUGUAUAUUAAAGAACUUGCAGAGGGCUAGGGAUGUAUCUCAGUGUAGUGCCUGUAUAACCUGUGUGAGGCCUUGGGUUCUAUCCCCAGAAUUGCAAAAGGAUUCAUGCUUCUGACAUGACCUUGUUGCUUCCUUGAAUGUGAACACCCACACAUUGACAGUAAGUUAGGGCUGUGAAAGAUGUGGGCUUAAUGGUGUGAAUCCUGUCUCAUCAUUGUCUUUGUCUUAGUCUGUUUUGUGUUGUUAUAACAUAAUACAUGAGAUGGGAUACUUCUACAAAGAAAAGAGGUUUAUUCAGCUCACAGUUUUAGAGGCUGAAAGUCUGGUUGGACAGCCCCACCUGCUUAGGCUUUGGUGAAGGCUUUCUGGCUGUGUCUCAAGGAGUGAUGAUGUCACAUGGUGGGAGCACUCCUGAACAAGAGGGAGGUGUGUAUCACAUGAUGAGACAGGAAGCAAAAGCAAACAACAACAACAAAAACAACUCCCCCAAACAAACAAAAUCUCAACAAAACAAAAAAAGGGGAGAGGUCAGGCUUUUUCUUUUAUAACAACCUGCUCUCAUGAGAACUAAGUCACUCCUGUGAGACCUAGCUCAUUUCCCUAGACCAGCAUUAAUCCCUUCACAAGGUGCUCAGUCACCUUCCAAUAGGCCCCACCUUCCAAUAGGCCCCACCUCUUAAAGGUCCCAUAGCCUCAAUACUGCCACACCGGGGAUCAAGCCUCCAGCACAGGAAUCUUUAGGGAACUAACUGCAUCCAAACUCUUCUCCCUGUGAUAUGUCUGACAAUGACAAACAAGAAACCAAAGUACCACUUUUAUGGACUUGGCUUAUGGACUUGGACAGUGCUUGAUGAAUUGGUGCAAACUUUGGUAAAUGAUUGCCUUGAGGCUUAAGCAGAUCUGUUCUCCCAUUUUUCCUAGCCCUCCAAAUCCCUAUGUUACCGCUGUCCUGGAAGGAGGGACUUCUAGGUGCCCACGAGAAAAAGGGGAGAAGGCAGGAGGGCAGGAGGGCAGGACUGCUGCCACAGUUAGACCCACAGCCCUCCUCUGGGGCAGAUGGAGGCAGUUGACUUUCUAUAGCAUACUUCAGUUUAGAUGCUUCACCAAGAACAUUUCAGAUUCUGAAGGUUGAGUGUACUGGGCAGGUAACAGGUGUGAAUAAUUUGAUGGGAUAAAACCCCGAGCAAACUGUAGAUAGUCUUUGGUGGAAGGCAUUGAAGAUUUUAAAAAGUUAUGGUGCUGUCAAACAAAGCAGGUCAGGGGCUAAUUGUUUUUAGAAACUUUGAUACUCUGCCAUUUUCCCCAAACUUCAAAAUUUUUAAUGUGAUAUUUAGUGUUCAUAUGCUGCCCCACCACAGUGAAUGUACCUCGCUGGUAUGAUAGAGAUCAGAACAGGAGCUGGAAAAUAGCAGCACCAACAUCAUCAAAGUAGAUAACAUGACACAGUUGUCCCCUACAGAAGAGAUACUUGGCCUUGUCCUUUUCUCAUUCUGCUACUUGCCUCUGAUAUUCUAGGGUUUUUGAGACUGGGGACCAAGCAAACUCAUUUCCUCAAGGUUAAUCUUACCUAGUGCUCUACAUCUCUCUCUUUUUCCCUAAAGGAAAUCUUUAGCUUCCUUGGAUUCUCACACCUUAUGGAAUAGGUGUGGGGCAAAAUACUUGCCAAAAAUUCCCUUGGGAAUUCAUUAUAGACUGACCCUGAGAUUUCUAAAAGAAAUGUAAACCAUGAUUUUUAUUCUCCCAGGAGCUUGUGUUAUCUGUGUAACCAUUACUGUAAAUGGGAAGCAGUCAAUAAAUUAUGAAAAGAAAUGAGGGGUGCAGGGCCUGCAGGGUCAGUGUGGUGGCUGCUGGGCUACUGGUUUUCAAGAUUACUCUGGGAGCAGAGGAGAGGAGAAUGGGAACAGGCAUGAGCAAAGUGCCACACGUCUGUAUGUACUGAGCAUUGGUCAUUUUUCUUGAGUGAGCAUUCACUGGAUUAUUGCAAGCCUUCAGUUAAUUUUUCUAGAGUUCUAAAAGUUGAACUUGAAAGUUUUUGUCCCCAUGUUCUCAUUGCUUUUAUGGAGGGGUGGGGUUUUAAAGGUCCUUGUUUUGCCAUUCCAGAGAUGCUUCUCAGCUCUGGAUUAUUUUUUAAACAAAUCCCAGAAACAUCUCUAUACAGUUUUCUGAUGCCACACAACGGAAUUAGGUAGGCCCACUACCCCCAUCUCCCUUGGAGGACCAUGGAGAAAGACACAACCUCCAAUGCCAAACUCACCAAUCAGAUAGAUUCUUCCUCCUGUUCAGGAGAGGAAUGAAGGGGUGGAGUAAGAGGCAGGUGUGGUCUUCCAGCAGAUGUUUAUCUGGGAGAAUAAUAAGAUAAACGGUGUUUCCAUCUGAGUUUCAACUUAAUGGUAUCGUUAUGUUGCAGGAAUAAAUAGCAUUAGGUGAAGAAAUAAAAAUCAAAGAAAAACAUUCGGCAUGGCAAGAAGCAACCAUGUUGUGGAAAGAAAUAGUAAGUAAAGGAAGGUAGCAUGGAUAGAGUAGUUAAUUUAGACUGUGGGAAACAAGGCAGGAAAAUUUAUAUGCAGAGGUUAAAGGAUGGUGAGAUUGUGUGCUCGUUCAAAGAAAAAACAGGCCAGUCAAGAAAAAACCAUAGAAGAUGAUCAUGGAAGAAAUGAGAUUCAGAGCUAAAUGAAAGUGUCAACUUUAGAAUAGAAGGAGGCUUUUUUUUUUUUUUUUUAAAUGGGUAUCGGGGAUUGAACUCAGAGGUACUGGACCACUGAGCCACAUCUCUCCAGCCCUAUUUUGUAUUUUAUUUUAGAGACAGCAUCUCAUUGAGUUGCUUAGCACCUCCUCUGUUGCUGAGGCUGGCUUUGAACCCACGAUCCUCCUGUCUCAGCCUCCUGAGCCUCUGGGAUUACAUGUGCCCCCAUACCCAGUCAGAAGGAGCCUCUUUAUUAUCUAAUAUCCUUGUCUUGGUUGUAUUUUAAUGCUGAAUUGGUAAUGAUUUAAGACAGGCAUCUGAGUUUUGGUUCAUGUGCUCAAUUUGAAUUCUUAUUCCUCUGUUUUUUUUUUUUCCUAAUGAACUUUCUUAAUUUUAGGUGAUAGGCCAGAGUUGUUUUACCUCCAUGCCCUAAGAGUUAGUUUUCUGCCAGAGACAUGGAAGAAAAGAGGCCAUAUAACAUUGUAGAUAGAGUAUUAGAGCUAUUGUGAGAUAGGAGGUUUUCUGGAUGUGCUAAAAACCUGGACUGUUACACAGGUUGAGUUUCCCUUAACUGAAAUUCUUGGGAUUCAGAAUUUUUGGAUUUUGGAAUAUUUAUAUGUAAUGAGAUAUUUGGGGAUGGGACUCAAAAGUCCAAAAUAUGAAAUCCAUUUAUGUUUCAUUUACAUCUCAUACACAUAGCCUGAAGUUGUUUUAUAUAGUAUUCUAAAUGAUUUUUGUGCAUGAAACAAGGUUUCAUGGUGUGAAAUUUUACGUGUGUCGCAUUAUGGCUGUUCCCAAAGUUUUUUUGUUGUUUUUGCAAUGCUAAGUAUUUUGCAUGGUAGGAUUCGGCUGACCUCUAGUGGUAGAAUUGGUACAUUGCAGCCAUUUACUAGCAUAAACAGCCUUUGUUUCAAGGUAUGUUCCCAGUCCUCGUUUAGCAAACAAAAAUUACAGAUUCCCUCCAAAACCAAAAAAAAAACAUAAAAUGCUGGCAACAGUGUGCAUACUCUUUUGGAGUAAUUAGAACAAUCAUUAUUGAGAAUAGUUUGGAAAUGGAACUAUCAUGUAAUCCAGCUAUCCCACUUUUGAGUAUACAUUAAUAGGAAACAAAAUCAGCAUACUAAAGAGAUAACCUGCAUAUCCACGUUUAUUGUGGCAUUAUUCAAAAGAUCUAGGAUAUGGAAUCAACCUAGGUGGACAUCAACAGAUGAACGGAUAAGAAAAUGUAGUAUUUAUACAUGAUGGAUUAUUAUUCAGCCAUAAAUAAGAGUGAAAUUAUGUUAUUACAGCAAAAUGGAUGGAACUGGAGGAUAUUUUGUUAAAUGAAUAAACCAGAUAUGGAAAGACAAAUAUUUCAUGUUUUAUCUCAUUUAUGGACAAACGCUGAUUGGUAUGUAAAAUAGAGGUCACUAGAGAUUGGGAAAGGGAGAGAAAGGUGGAAAAAGGUGAUUGGAUGUGAUCAGUGUGCACUGAAUGCAUGUAUGGAAGUAUCACGCUGAACCCCAUUAAUAUGAACAAUUAUUCAUGUUAAUAAAAUAAAUAAAUAAAUCCCAGUUGAUAGUCAUAUCUUUUCCAAGUGAUUAUGCAUAUCUUCUACAAAAGCUCAAGACAAAAGAUCUUCUAAAAUACUCAAUCAAAAAUUGGAAUUAAUCUACCCGUGACAAAAUAUUGUCAAUGACUGGAUUUGAUGAAUGGUAGAUAUAUUUUCUGCACUCAGAAUGUGAGGGCUCUGUCUGGACAUGUGUGAAAGCCUCUAUGAAGCGUGCAUUUGAUUUUUCCCUUGGGACACUAUUCAGCAGGGUCCUGAAGUUUGCAGCCAUUUCAUGGGUUGAUUUGUAACCGUGUCUCUUGGCUCACGUUCAAAUUUGUCUCUGUUCUACCCAUGUCCUGCACAGUGGAGGGACGGACUUGAGGCCAAAUCAUUUCUGUAGAAUCUUUAUCCUGAGCAUGAUCUGCAGGAGGCCAGUGUUUGUGGCUACUUCUUCCUACUGCUUUAUUUCUCCACAUGACUCCUCCUGACUCCAUGGGGAUGAUCCUGGGAGGAACUACGAAUUAAGAGACUCUGGUACCCAUUUACUUAUCUAAUCUAACUCAGAGAUUUUGGAAGCCUAAACUUUGCUUUGGUUUAAUGAAAAGAUUUGAAGACACAGGACUGGUGUCCCAAAACUUGGAGCAAGCAUUUUUGAGCACUUUAGACCCUCAGACCUAAUUUCCUAAAGGAUGAAGUGGUUACCAGGCUUAGACAUUUAAAGAUGCUUAGACAUUUAAAGAUGGGUCUGGAGGUAUAGCUCAGUGGUAAAGCGCUUGCAUGAAUCCCUGGGUUACACCCCCAGUUAUGCAUAAAUAAAUAAAACAAAUAAAAAUAAAAAUAAAGAUGGUAUAUGAGUUCAAUAGAAAGAUGGUUUUGUGUUAUGGGGGUGGCAGCUCAAAGAACUUUGUGUUUUAUAUACUUAAAAAAUGACAGCAAAUGUGGCAGGAUUAAUGAUGGUUAGUUCUGAAUGGUAUAAAUAUGGGGAUGUUUCUUUCAAUCUUUUUAGUUCUUAAAAUUAUAAAAAGAAAAUAGUUCUAGCAGAGCAAUGGGUACUGUAUUAUAUCUUUCACUACUCUGCAACACAACUCUUAAGCCAAGUGCAUUUUUGUUUGGUAGCCACAAGCAGCUCUUCAGAGAUGUGAGUGUUUUAAUUCUGGUUGUGUUUAUGGGCAAUGUGGUUGACUUUCACCAGUGUUGUGGAUUCCUAGACUUAGCCAUUGCUGUAGGUCUGAUUUAUGUAAAUGGUGUGCAUAGUUCAAAGCUGAGUAAUUCAACUAGAAGGCCCAUCUAAUCUCCUAAUAAAGUAGGUUCUAGGCCCUUUUUAAAAAAAAAAAAUUAAAUAUUUAUUUUUUAGUUUUCAGUGGACACAGCAUCUUUGUUUGUAUGUGGUGCUGAGGAUUGAACCCGGGCCGCACGCAUGCCAGGCAAGCGCGCUACCGCUUGAGCCACAUCCCCAGCCCGGUUCUAGGCCCUUUUGAGUCAUAAAGGAUAGAGGUACUCUGGUUUUCUCUCUCCAUGAGCACUGAUUGUGAGGCUCCAUGAGGGAGAGAGGAAGACAGGAAGAUGUCUCUGCAGCUACAUCUGUAUGGCAGAAGAGGGACAUUGUUCAGGGGAUAAGUUGUGAUAGUCAGAUGAUGGCUCUGGUAAUGUGCUGUGGUUCUAAGGGUAGUUGUUUCAUGAGCAGGUCAUUUUCUAAAUUCCUGACUUAUAAGGUCCACCUUUGUGGUGACUUCAGUACUGACUCACUGGGUUUAUAUUUCCAGUGAGCACAGGGUGGGUCUCCCUACAUUGCCACAUGCCCAGUUAGUUGCCAAAUGUCUGGUCAGACUAUAGAAUCUGACUUUGGGAUAGCUGUCAUCUUGGGCCUAGUCUGUGGAAGCUCAUCAGGGACCCAACAUGGCAAGCCUGUUAAUAAUGAAUUCCUGAAAGGAGACCGUGGGUUUGCCAGGUAUAGAGGCACACCUCAAAGAGAAAAUAGGAGCCCCAUAGCCUAAGUACAAGAUCAACAGUCUGGACCAGAGGGUUAACAGCAUUCUUAAGGGAGGAAAUACAUGUGGACUCCUCUCUCUGUGUUCUCCUUAUUACAUUCCUUAGUACAUUGGGUACCUUAAAUUUUCAGAUCUUAAUCCAAUAGGUUAUGCUGAUUAGCUCUAUAAGUAAAUUUCAUUGACAGAGUUUCCUUUCCUUUUCUUUCAGCAUAGUAGUUUAUUGUAUGUUUCUUUUUGAAGUUGAUUUUUAAAAAAUAAUAUAUAGAAAUGAAAAUCUUAAAACUGCAUAAAUAUGUUAUAUCAAGUUACCUAUCAAUCCACCAAAUCAAAAGCAACUGCCGAGCUGACUAAUAAAUUACAAAGAAAUAAUAAUUCUGGCUUAUUCAGGAAUGUGUAGUGUUUUCAAAGCUCUCAACAGUUAUCCACUAAUACAAAUCUCUAAAGCUGAACUUAGAGUUGGAAGAUGAGUUUAACAGUAACAUAAUUUUAACCUAUUUACAUUCAUUUUAAUAUAUGACUUAGAUGUUUAUUCUGUGUCACAAUGGUGCUUUCAAGUGUUCGCAAUUUACAGUUUCAAUUUGUACGUAUAUAAUUCACUAACAUGAGGGACAGUUCUUCCUGUUACAAACUAUUCCUAAGAAUAAAAAUAAAACUCUAUCCUACAUAGAACUCUGAAUAUGGUAUGACUUAAAACAGAUUAAUGCAACAUGGUUUUUAAUAUUUAGCCAUUUUCUAAAUAUCAGCAUGUAAAUUUGCCUAUUUAAUAUAUGACAUCUACAACUUUAUUCACUGAGAAAUUCUGCAUUAAUUUUAUUCAGCCAUCUUUAUCACCUUAUCCUAAAAAUUUCUUGACUUGCUGUUUCUGUUUCAGUGAAUUCCAAACUGUGUGUAUAGUAUUUUUUUUUUUUGAGAAGAGGAAGGAAGCAAGGUGAUAAAUACACUGUAAACAGAAAACAGUUCCCCCCCAAAUUAAACCUUUAUAAAACUUUUCUCUUUAUUUCUAUACUAUUUAACACUUUCUAAAAGUCAGUUACAGUGUUUCAUCUUUACCAAUAAACAAAUAUAUUACUGGAGGGUCAGUCUGCCCCACCUUUCUGGGACCUAAAAUUCUGAGUAUGUGAACAGAAGAAUAAAAUACUUCAACAUUAAAUUACCAAAUUUAUAACUGUUAUAUGAUUUGACUGGACUAGUUAAAACAUAUAGAAACAUACAAUUCAGUAGGUGUUUGGUGAUUUUGCUUUUAGGGGUAGGUUGUCAAAAAACAAAGAGUAACAAAUGAAGUAGCAAAAAAGUUUUGUUUCCCAUCUUAAAGCUGGAGGGCAAUGGAUCACAGGGCAGUGUAAUCCUCUGAAAUCCAUUUGACCUAUCACUUCAGGUCCAAGAUGAAAUUUGGAAUUUUUUUGAAUAGACCCUAUUCUUUCCUGGAGUAUCAAACUGAUUGGUAGUUAUAUCUCCAAGUACAAUCAGACCUUAACAGUCUGUUGAAUGAAAUAUUAGUAAAAUUGAAAAGAUGAGACUAAAUUUCAAACUAGAAUAAAAAUCUACUCAGUUUUCAAAUCACUUACUAACACGAAAACAGAUUUGGCUUAAAUCACUCCUGUACACACUGACACCGACAGAUGCCCCAGUCACUGAUUUGCUCUGCAACAAAAGGCCAUAUAAUCAGAGAUGACAUUCUCCAAGCCCAACUUUAAAUAGAUUUUAAAAAGUCAUUUCUAAUUUUUACAGAAAUUGUUUCUUCAAAAACUAUUUUCUCUCCCUCAUCUCCUAAACUAAAGGAUGUAUACUGUGUUGGUUUGUUGUAAUUUCUCAAGCUAAAUAUGAACCCUCAAAAUCGAUUCCAGGCAGAAAAUCUUUGUAAAUUAAAAUCAAAAGCAAAAAUAGAAAAAUUAUAUUUUAUAUAUUAUAUAUGUGUGCAUACUACACAUACACACAUAUGUAUUUAUAUUGAUUGGAAUCCUCUAGCAUUUUAAAAUCACUUUAGAGAUGAAUUUUGGGAUUCUAUUCUCCACAACUCCAAAAUCCAUAAUUUAAGGACAUAAUUUAUUUCCUUCCUGGCUACCCAUUCCCCUCCAGAACAGUUCAAUAUAGCCAAUGGCUCAAGUUUAAUGGGAAGAGAGAAAGUAUUUGAAUAGUUUUGUUUUUUUGAUUUCUUUGGUGAUUUGGGUGGUAUAUAUUGCUCUUUGCCAUUAUGUCAAGUCACUCCCUGAGGUAUAGCCCUAUCGCUAAACUGGUGUCUCUAGUCCCUGAUUUUUCCAGCAAAUGUUCCCCUGGGAAUGGUAUUGCCUUGGAAGCCAGAAUAUCCUUACUAGCCCUUGCUUCUGGCGUCUCAUGUGAUUUCUCAGUGGACUUCUCAGGAGCUCCAGUCUCUUCAUUUUUGGUGGGAGAUACAACUUUGGAGCAAAGUUCCUGUAAUGGCCAAACAAGAACUGAAACUGGCUCUCAAGGAGGUUCUGGCACACUUCAGCAUAACUUUUCAAGGUUCCUGUAGGGUUAUAGCUCCAGAUGCAUUUAUGUUACUAUUAUUUGGUGAAGCAGUAUUUGCCUGUGAUGUCUUUGCAGAAAUUGGGAUAGUUAUCUGAUUGAGAACAAUCUUCUGAACACAAAAUCUUCUAUUAGAUCCUUUUCUUGCUGAGUUGUGCUUAAUGAAGGAAGCUCAGCUGUACGUGGAGGACUGGAACUCAUAUUGAGUUGCUGGACAGAAGUGCAAUCUGUUUGCUCGUCCUCUGCAGGCACUGGGGAAUGAACUCUCAAGUCUUCAUUAUCCUUUUCUUUAAUGACAUCAAACAUUCUAUUCUCCAAAACGAAUUCACCUGGCAUUCUUUUCUUUCUUUCUUUCCUUUUUUUUUUUUUUUUGUAUCAGGAAUUGAACUCAGGCACUCGGCCACUUAGCCAUAUCCCCAGCCCUAUUUUGUAUUGUAUUUAGAGACAGGCUCUCACUAAGUUGCUUAGUGCCUCACUUUUGCUGGGGCUGGCUUUGAACUCUUGAUUCUCCUGCCUCAGUCUCCUGAGCUACUGAGAUUCAGUCAUGUGCCACCAUGCCUGGCUUAAAUAAGUUUUAUGUUUAAGGCUCAUUUUCUUUAUUUUUAAAUUAAAUUAAUUUUUUUUUUUAACUGGGGAUUGAACUUUGGGGCACUUGACCGCUGAGCUACCACCUGGCUUUCUUGAUGAACUUCCAGGUAAUGGAGGAAAAUUUGAAGCUAGUAAGUCAAACUUUGGUUUUUUUUUUUUUUUUUUUUUUUGAGCCUUUGUUUCAACUGUUGAAGGAUGGGGUCUUGGGAUUCUGUCAUCUUGUGGUCUUUGACCUCUGGAAACAGUUCUUCUGCUCCUACCAUAGUCCCCAUUCUGUUGCAUCUGUAAACCAGGAGUCUCCUUGGGAAGGUGAGUUUGCUCCUGAUGCCCUGGUACUGUAGGGUUAUGCCAUCCGGGUGGAAAGUUCCUUGAACUAGAUCUAUUCAAUGGUCCAUCCUCAAAUGACACAGAGCCCUCUGUUGAAUCUUCUGAACCACUGGAUGACCUAAAAUGAGGCUUCACAUGAUUCUUUUUUGGAAUGGUUGACCAAUAUUCACAGCAGCAGCAUUUGUGUUACAAGAGCCUGGUGAAUUAAAGCCAUUCACAAAACUACCACUGGGAAAGGAAGCUAGUGGUGUUUCAAAGUAAGGUGCAAGACUUGGAGACCAAGACUGAGGCACAAUACUAUAGACUGAGUACUGUUGGUGAGGAUUAUAUACAGGCAAAGACUGGUGAGGCAUACUGUGUUGAAGUUUGAAUACAUACUAGAAUCAAUAACCAUUCUUAGCAAAAAAGGUAUUGAUGGCCUUUAUUCUUUGUCAUGAUUGGCUUGCCCUGAAAUGUUAUAACUUAAGUAUUUGAAAGUCUGUUGUGCAUCUGUGUCUGGCUGAAAAGUGAUAUACCAGUUGCUAUUAUGUGCAAGCUCACAGCUUAUCAUUUUGGGGAAUUUUUCACUUUUAAGCAAAGCUUUCACUUCCUCUACUGGUGUUAUUUCAGGAAUCUCUCUAAGAAUCACAAUACAACACUAAUGACUUGGUCUCACCUUCUCACCCUUCUCAUCAACUUGUACCAUAGGAGAAGAUCUCAACACUUUAAGAUCAGGAUUUGUGGUCAACUUUAAAAAAAAUCUCUUUUCUGUUGGCAAUUGUCCAGUUGGGACGAACUGAUCACUAUCCAUCUGAGCUAUCAAACAAUGAUUCUUUGACAAGUUUUCUUGUGAAAAACAGAAUUCUAAUGUUUUCUUUAGACAUUCUUUUAGGUCUUCUGUAGAAAUUGCUGAACUACCUUCUCCAGAAACAUGUAUUUGGCAACUCAGUUCUUCAGGUCCUAAUAUCAUUUCAUCAGUUGAUUCAAUGCCUGUAGUGUUUCUUGUGGUUUCACAAGAUGGAGAAUAUAUUACUUCAUGUUCCUUACACAUACCUUUUCAAAGCUCAGCAUUUCCUUCAGGAUGAGACCCUGAUGUGCUGCUGUUUCAUGCCAAGGGCUUUCAGUUCCUUGAGUAGCAUCAGGAGUUCUAGGAGGAAUUUCUUGCCAUACUCUUUGGCAUUAGAUUUAAACCAGUUCCUUUAGGUGUUACCUGCUUCUCCCUCUACCAUCCCACAUGUUCUCUCCUCCCUCCUCGAUCGUGCCUCCCUCAUGACCCUUUUCUCCAUCCGACUCCACCCUGCCCGCCCCCCACCUGUUUGCCUCCUUUAGGAGGUCCAUAUGGGACCAGGGUUUCCUUUCCUUUCUUUUUUUUUCCUACUUUUUUUUUUUCAAAUGAGAGAGACAGUGUGACUCAGUAGAAAGCAUAAGGAAGAAGUUGUUCUUAUUAAUUAUGACUUAAAAGACAAAGGCAGAAGUCUGGUAUCUGCCGCAUCAUGCUUCUAACAGCUCUGGCCCUUGGGAAACUCUGUACCAUCCUGGAGAUUUGAUUUGGGUACCAAAAUGAAUGGGCAGGACUAAAAAAAUACAAAAAGAAACAUUUUUUUUGUUUUCAUACAUUUAUAGAUAUCUUUAGUUAUUUUAAAGGCAAAAUUGAUUCAAAGGUGGACUCAUGCAUUAUUCAUAUUCUUUUUUUCAAGUGGCAAAAUGGGACUUCAAAAGAGUAGGCCUUAGCAUUGAUAUCCCUAAAAAUCAGUAAUGUUUUCCUUCUCUAUAUACAUGAAAAAGAACUAUGACGUAAAUAGUUAAUCAUGUGAUAAAUUGAUCUGUGUAGUAUGUAUCAUAGUCACAUUGAAUAACUUAUCAUCAUUAUUAAAAUGAAGUUGAAUAUUUUCCUUUUCUUGUGAGUGUAAAAUAUGCACAGCAUCUAGGAAUACAGGAUUUUAAAGUGGUGGUUGAGAGUUCUGUUUCUGUCAACAUGGCAAAUGUCAAUAUGGUAAGUCUCUUGAAAAUUUUUUUCACUUCAAGAUGCUUAAGAAUAUUGGGUAACUGUGUGUCUUUGAGGCUUUUAAAAGUCAUGCAUAGCUAAUGGUAGCUAAUAAUAUUUUUUCCACAUAUUUGCUGACCAUUUGUAUUUAUUAUUUUGAGAACUGUCUAUUCAGGUCAUUUCCCCAACUUAUAAAGAGGAAAGGUUUAUGGCUUGCUUUCAGAGGUUUCAGUCUGAUUGAUCCCCUUGCGUUGGGCCUGAGGCAGCACAGUACAUCAUGGUGGGAGCACAUGGUGGAGGAAGCUCAUUCACCUCAGGGCAGGUGGGUAGCAAAAGAGAGGGGUAGGGGUUAGGUUCCCAUUAUCCUCUUUGAGGGAAUGUCCCCAGUGACCAAAGACCUCUACCUUAAAUGUUGAACAUAAGCAACCUGUGAGAGCAGGGUCCUUCGACAAGGUCAUUCUUAACUAUGAUGGGAUGAGACAAAAAGACUGCUUCAUAAAUUUGUCUAAGAACAGCUGAAAACAAGAUCACUGUGCAACCCACAAAUACUGAGCAUCUCUUUCUUGUCUAAAAUGAGUGCCCACUUCUCUUGAAAUCAUUAUAGCUUUGUCUUCAGUGUAGUUUCCUUUCCAUCUGGGUAAGAUCUAUUGAGAUACCCAAUCUUCUAGUUGCCCUCACUUUUUAAUAGCAUCUCAACUAGUGAGUUCUACUUCUGAGACUUCCUCCAAAUCACCCAAGCAAAGUCUGAAUCCUUUGAUAAGUUCUCUCUAUUACCUUCUUUCUAGAUCCCGUGGCUCCCCUGGUGUUCCAGUAUAGGUGUGCUCCUGUUGGCUUUUUAAAAAAAUUUUUUUUGGUUGUUAAUGGAUCUUUAUUCUUUUAUAUGUGGUGCUGAGAAUCAAACCCAGUGCCCCACACAUGCCAGGCAAGCGCUCUACCAAUGAGCCACAACCCCAGCCCUCCUGUUGGCUUUAACUGUAGGAUAUCAACAGCUUAAAGAUUAAAAUUGUCACAAAAAGACAAGUACCACAUAAAAAAAAUCUCACUCAAAUGUGGAAUUUACAGGGUCAAUUUCAGAAGUUGUCACUAGAGUAUUGGUUUUGGGAGGCUGGGGAGAGCAGGAGGGAAGGAGGGUUGGGAAAAACUGGUCCAAAGGUACUAAGUUAUAGUUAGUGAGGAGUUAGAAGUCCUGGAUGUGCUAUUAAACAGCAUGGGUAUGCCCAUUGAAUGGUAACUCUCAUUCUCUCUAGCCCCCGGCAACCAUCAUUCCACUUUAUGUCUCCAUGAAUUUGGUUGCUCUUGGUACCUUAUAUAAAUGUAAUCACCCCAUUUUUGUCCUUUUGUGUCUAAUUUAUUUCAUCUCAUUUGUGUAAUAUCUCCCAGGUUCAUCCACAUUGUAGCAAGUGUCAGAACUCCCUUCUUCUUUAAGUCUGAAAAAUACUCCAUUGUGUGUAUCACUACAUCUUGUUUUUGUAUUCAUUUAUCCAUGGGCCCUUAAGUUGCUUUCAACUCUUGGCUAUUGUGAAUAGUGCUUCUGUGAACAUGGGUGUAUAAAAAUCUGCUUUCAAUUCUUUUGGGUAUAUACCUGGAAAUGGAAUUGCUGAAUCAUGUGGUGAUUCUAUUUUUAAUUUUUUGAGACUCUCUGGACUGUUCUCUAUAGCAGCUACUCCAUUUACAAUCUCACCAACAGUGUACUAGGGUCCCAGUUUCUCCACAUCCUCACCAGCCCUUGUUAUUUUCCUUUUUUGACAGCCAUCCUAAUGGGUGAGGUGUUAUCUCAUUGUGACUCUGAUUUACAUUCCUGAUGACUAGUGAUGUUGAGCUUUAUUUUUAUAUUGGGUUUUGAUUACAGUGACCACUCUCUACUUCUUUCCAGAAAGGAGUUGAAGAUGCUGGAGCAGUCUGAUUCUCUGAAAGGUUCUCUAAGCGCAGAACAGCAGCUGUCACUCAUCAGUGGUUGCUCCAACAUUGCAGAAGCAGUAGAGGGCGCCAUGCACAUUCAGGUGAGUUAAGGACACUGGCAACCCAGGUCUGCAGUCCCAGGAGAACUUAAAACCUCUCCAGAAUGGAGGAACUUUGGGGAGGGAGUAGAAGGAAGGAGCAGGGGGCAGGAAAGAUGGUGGAACGAGAUAGACAUCAUUACCCUAGGUUACAUGUAUGACGACAUGAAUGGUGUGACUCUA